UAAGUUUGAUGUCAAAUAUGAUGGCUCAACCAUCAAGAGGCGUUGAAAACUAGUUUAUCUAGAAUCUCGGAGAGGUAAGUGGAAUUCCAUGUGUAGCGGUGGAAUGCGUAGAUAUAUGGAGGAACACCAAUGGCGAAGGCAGCUUACUGGACGAAGAUUGACGCUGAGGUGCGAAAGCGUGGGUAGCAAACAGGAUUAGAUACCCUGGUAG
Molecule: ribosomal RNA, 211 nt
Filed under: uncultured bacterium
Lineage: Bacteria
Description: partial 16S ribosomal RNA
Rfam family: Bacterial small subunit ribosomal RNA
Source: RNAcentral